RNAcentral lists this microRNA (22 nucleotides) under Pristionchus pacificus. RNAcentral's name for it is "ppc-miR-2268". The record is from miRBase by way of RNAcentral. Lineage: Eukaryota; Metazoa; Nematoda; Chromadorea; Rhabditida; Neodiplogasteridae.
AAUGACACUGUCGCGUAUUGGU